Molecule: long non-coding RNA, 1456 nt
Filed under: Numida meleagris (helmeted guineafowl)
Lineage: Eukaryota; Metazoa; Chordata; Aves; Galliformes; Numididae
Description: lncRNA (ENSNMEG00000006288.1)
Source: RNAcentral
CCCCUCCGUUCCCGCCGGCGCGCAGGUGUGAGGGCGCGGCCGUGACAUGGCGCCCCCGCUGGCGGGCGGGAGCGCGCGCGGCCGCGGGGAGAUGGAGCCCGGAGCAGCGCUUUAAAGCCCGAGGUGCCGAUCCUGCGGGACGGAACUUGUUGGAGGUGGUAGGCGGUGCACCGGGUCAGGUUGCUCCGAGGCCCAAAUCGCCCCGGCUCCCUCUGCUUGCACGGUGCUGUCCUGCGGCCGCGGCUCUGUGAGCCCUCAGUGCCCGGGUCUUGCUGUCUGCCCGGGGCUCGUUCUUCGCUCCAGCUCUGCCUUGUGCUCCAGCAGCGCCCUGCCGGUGGCGGGGGGGAGCGGUGUCCUCUGAGCUCCCCGUGUGCGCCCGGAGCCCUGCCAGCAGCGCAUGGAUGGAGGGGCUGUUUCCCUGAAGACGUGAAGCUGAGCUCCCGCGGGCAGAGCUGCCCCUGCACGAGGCGCUGCCCCGAGGACGCUGCUGCAGCCCCCGCCCCGGAGACAUCGCCGUGCCCCGGGCCUGCUGCACCGAGACCGCUGCGGGAGCUGUGCUGGGUGCCGUGCUGUCACCUCAAGAAGAACUCUACCUUAAAGGCAACAACUAAAUGAGGUGCAGAAGCCGGAGUUGAUGAGAGGAGGAUUUUUCUUGCUUGCAAGUCUCGGACACAGGUUGUAGAGGUAAGAUGCACUUCUCCCUAUGUGACUGAGGGCUCUGAUUGCUGCUGGAGGGAGGAACUUGGUCCUCACUUUGAAAAUUUCAUGGCUACCUGGUGCUACUCUGGGGAAAAGCAAGGCACCGGAUAUACAGAGCUAAACGAGUUCAGCAGUAGAGGCUUUUCAGCCAAUAAUCCCCCAUCACUUUUCCUCCUGCUUUAUUGCUCUUAUUGCAAGCAGCGUUUGCUCGGCGUGGAGCUCAGCUCCCCGGGCCCUGCUGCAGGGCUGCUCGUUCCCUCGUGGUGAGGGACUGUGCUGGUGAUGGGGCCUGGGCGUCAGCGCUGUGUUCUGGCUCUGCCCAUGGGGCCAGAAGGUCGAGAGCCUCGUGUGAGUGGAGGUUUGGGUGCAUCAGUCUGUUCCAUGAACAUCUCGAUGUGUUCCUAAGGACAGUGAAGUAGCACAUGUACUCUGCCAGUGCUUUACCAUCUACCUUCCAAUGCAGAAGCUUCUACUCGAUCAGGUUGUGUGCUGACUGGCCCUAUAAGGAAUUUCCUGGUGGUGCUCAGUGCUGUUCAGUGCCUGUUUCCCCGUUAAGGCUCUGAGAUACCCAGUGCAUGCUUACAGGGUGGUGGUCCAUGCACAUGCCGUGUGCCACGUCCCAAAUCAUGGCAUCUCUGCUGCUGCCCAGGACGCUUUGGUCAACGUAAAUCAAAAGGGCCCUAAAUUACUUCAGUGAUAUUUAAAACAAAACCCCAAACAAAUAAUAAAACCUAACACUUCCAUAUAACUGUUCUCA